Molecule: long non-coding RNA, 154 nt
Organism: Mugil cephalus (flathead mullet)
Lineage: Eukaryota; Metazoa; Chordata; Actinopteri; Mugiliformes; Mugilidae
Exons: 2
Source: RefSeq, a predicted model, not a curated record
CAGGAGUGAAACAUCUGUGUGGUUUUCUGGAGAGUCCAGACUGUAGACUGGAGACUCUGGGAUUGAUUCACUGCAGUUUAUCAGAGAUCAGUUGUGAUUCUCUGGUCUCAGCUCUGAAGUCCAACCCCUCCCAUCUGAAACAUCUGGACCUGAG